This is a long non-coding RNA of Columba livia (rock pigeon), 977 nucleotides long. RefSeq lists it as uncharacterized. The transcript is spliced from 5 exons. The record is from RefSeq and is a predicted model, not a curated record. NCBI's taxonomy places the organism in Eukaryota, Metazoa, Chordata, Aves, Columbiformes, Columbidae.
CUGUAUCAUGCACUAAGAACCAAGCCUCAGUCCUGCAAUCAGCAAGGAGACAUUUGUCAUUGACUCAAAAGCUUUCAGAAGUUCCAUGGUGAUCCAGUUUUUAAAUUCACAGCAGCAAGUGGAUUCCACUAGGAAACAAAAGGUAACACCAAAGAAACUAUGUGUUAGAACAUAUUUUAAUUGGAGAAGAAUGAGUCUUCAAUCUCCUUGCUUUUGGAGCUUUAAAAGUGAAAAGAAAGGUGACAAGAAAUGCCUGUUCUCAUGCUCUGUACCACUUCAUCACAAUUCACUGCAGAACGUCAGUACCUGCCAAUACCUGACAAGAGUAAAAAUUAACAGCUGCAGGACUUUGCAGCAUUCCCAGACCUAUUUAAAAUUCAAGAUAAAUUAAGCUCAUCCACAAUCACACUAUGCAUAUUUCUACACUUCUGCCCGAGGAUGUAAGGAAAUGGAAACACGAAAGCCCCAUGCUUUCAUCAGAAGAUAACAGUAUAGCUUCCAUUUUGCAUAAACAAUGCAUAAAUCCCUGCUGUUAUUUUCAGCUGCAAGAGAGAAUAUGUUUAUAAGGCAAAGUCAUCACCAUACCAAGCUGGAAACUUACACAAAUUAAGAUGCCAAGAAGUUCUUUGGAUUGAGAGAAAGCUGAGAAUUUUUGGGAAGGACUAUUUUCCUUUCUGGUUUGGGAGAUCAGCUGUGGACUGUGUGUCUCCAAGGAGGGACUGGGUUGAGAUGGGAACUAUGUAAUGCUUAUCAGCUUGGCAUGGAUUUAAUGUUUGAUCAGAAGUGAUGCCAUGGCAUUCACUCCGCCGAAGAGACGUGCCUCAGACAACCAUUUGCCUCAGAAGGAAUUUCCAGCACUUGUGAAGGAUAGCCCACAGCAUUCUGCACAUCUCCUACAGCAUCUCUGUUCCUCUAAAAGUCUAUUAUUUGGACAACAUCCACUCCAAGUGGAGGGAGAUACCAAGCCGCAGACAGAU